Molecule: ribosomal RNA, 301 nt
Filed under: uncultured bacterium
Lineage: Bacteria
Description: partial 16S ribosomal RNA
Rfam family: Bacterial small subunit ribosomal RNA
Source: RNAcentral
CAGUCGCCGCGGUAAUACGGAGGGUGCAAGCGUUAAUCGGAAUUACUGGGCGUAAAGCGCACGCAGGCGGUCUGACAAGUCAGAUGUGAAAUCCCCGGGCUUAACCUGGGAACUGCAUUUGAAACUGUCAGGCUGGAGUCUUGUAGAGGGGGGUAGAAUUCCAGGUGUAGCGGUGAAAUGCGUAGAGAUCUGGAGGAAUACCGGUGGCGAAGGCGGCCCCCUGGACAAAGACUGACGCUCAGGUGCGAAAGCGUGGGGAGCAAACGGGAUUAGAUACCCGAGUAGUCCCUGUCUCUUAUAC